Molecule: small RNA, 1489 nt
Filed under: Microchaete sp. 30F28Micr
Lineage: Bacteria; Bacillati; Cyanobacteriota; Cyanophyceae; Nostocales; Rivulariaceae
Description: bacterial SSU rRNA
Rfam family: Bacterial small subunit ribosomal RNA (bases 1-1138)
Source: RNAcentral
CGAAAGCCUGACGGAGCAAUACCGCGUGAGGGACGAAGGCUUUUGGGUCGUAAACCUCUUUUCUCAAGGAAGAUUUAGACGGUACUUGAGGAAUAAGCAUCGGCUAACUCCGUGCCAGCAGCCGCGGUAAUACGGAGGAUGCAAGCGUUAUCCGGAUGAUUGGGCGUAAAGCGUCCGCAGGUGGUUUUGUAAGUCUGCUGUUAAAGCGUGUAGCUCAACUACAUACAGGCAGUGGAAACUAUGAGACUAGAGUAUGUUAGGGGUAGAGGGAAUUCCCAGUGUAGCGGUGAAAUGCGUAGAGAUUGGGAAGAACACCGGUGGCGAAAGCGCUCUGCUAGGACAAUACUGACACUGAGGGACGAAAGCUAGGGGAGCGAAUGGGAUUAGAUACCCCAGUAGUCCUAGCCGUAAACGAUGGAUACUAGGCGUUGCCCGUAUCGACCCGGGCAUUGUCGUAGCUAACGCGUUAAGUAUCCCGCCUGGGGAGUACGCACGCAAGUGUGAAACUCAAAGGAAUUGACGGGGGCCCGCACAAGCGGUGGAGUAUGUGGUUUAAUUCGAUGCAACGCGAAGAACCUUACCAGGACUUGACAUGUCGCGAAUCUCUGGGAAACUAGAGAGUGCCUUCGGGAGCGCGAACACAGGUGGUGCAUGGCUGUCGUCAGCUCGUGUCGUGAGAUGUUGGGUUAAGUCCCGCAACGAGCGCAACCCUCGUUUUUAGUUGCCAUCAUUAAGUUGGGCACUCUAGAGAGACUGCCGGUGACAAACCGGAGGAAGGUGGGGAUGACGUCAAGUCAGCAUGCCCCUUACGUCCUGGGCUACACACGUACUACAAUGCGACGAACAAAGGGCAGCUAGUUAGCAAUAACAUGCAAAUCUCAGAAAUCGUCGCUCAGUUCAGAUUGAAGGCUGCAACUCGCCUUCAUGAAGUCGGAAUCGCUAGUAAUUGCAGGUCAGCAUACUGCAGUGAAUUCGUUCCCGGGCCUUGUACACACCGCCCGUCACACCAUGGAAGCUGGUCACGCCCGAAGUAGUUAUCCUAACUUUCGAGGGGGAGACUCCGAAGGUAGGGCUGGUGACUGGGGUGAAGUCGUAACAAGGUAGCCGUACCGGAAGGUGUGGCUGGAUCACCUCCUUUUUAGGGAGACCUACCCAACUUGUAGUAAUCAGUACUUCAGUACUGUAGAAAUCGCAAGAAGGUCAUUACCUAGGUCGUUAGAGAAUUGGCUUUGGCUUCAGACUAUUAUUUGAUUCGGGAUAAAUUCAGGAAAAAUGAGUAAGGAAAAUUCAGCAACUGUAGUUAAUUAACUCAGCCUGCUGGAUGUAUGUCCAGUAAGAACCUUGAAAACUGCAUAGUGACGCAAAUUGUAGGCAGUAACCGUGUUAAGUGUAAUUACUGAAGUAAUUAAUACGAAAAAGGCAUGGGUAUUGAGUACAGACAAUCCUUUUGAAUUGAAAAGAUUUGGUCAAGCGAAUAAGGGCUGACGGU